UUUCCUUUUUUUUUAUCUGAGCUCUCGUUUUCAUAUAUUAUGUUGAUAAAAGAUAAAACUAUAACUAUCAACAUAAUAUAUGAAAACGAGAGCUCAGAUAAAAAAAAAAUA
RNAcentral lists this small RNA (111 nucleotides) under Mytilus galloprovincialis (Mediterranean mussel). The record is from RNAcentral. Lineage: Eukaryota; Metazoa; Mollusca; Bivalvia; Mytilida; Mytilidae.